RNAcentral lists this transfer RNA (76 nucleotides) under Aeromonadales bacterium. RNAcentral describes it as "tRNA-Val". It matches the Rfam family "tRNA". From Rfam's summary of the family: Transfer RNA (tRNA) molecules are approximately 80 nucleotides in length. Lineage: Bacteria; Pseudomonadati; Pseudomonadota; Gammaproteobacteria; Aeromonadales. The record is from RNAcentral.
GGGCGCUUAGCUCAGUUGGCAGAGCAUCGCCCUUACAAGGCGAGGGUCACUGGUUCAAGUCCAGUAGCGCCCACCA